Molecule: ribosomal RNA, 529 nt
Filed under: uncultured bacterium
Lineage: Bacteria
Description: bacterial SSU rRNA
Rfam family: Bacterial small subunit ribosomal RNA
Source: RNAcentral
UAGAGUUUGAUCAUGGCUCAGAACGAACGCUGGCGGCAGGCUUAACACAUGCAAGUCGAGCGCCCCGCAAGGGGAGCGGCAGACGGGUGAGUAACGCGUGGGAAUCUACCCAUCCCUACGGAAUAACGCAUGGAAACGUGUGCUAAUACCGUAUACGCCCUUAGGGGGAAAGAUUUAUCGGGGAUGGAUGAGCCCGCGUUGGAUUAGCUAGUUGGUGGGGUAAAGGCCUACCAAGGCGACGAUCCAUAGCUGGUCUGAGAGGAUGAUCAGCCACAUUGGGACUGAGACACGGCCCAAACUCCUACGGGAGGCAGCAGUGGGGAAUAUUGGACAAUGGGCGCAAGCCUGAUCCAGCCAUGCCGCGUGAGUGAUGAAGGCCUUAGGGUUGUAAAGCUCUUUCACCGAUGAAGAUAAUGACGGUAGUCGGAGAAGAAGCCCCGGCUAACUUCGUGCCAGCAGCCGCGGUAAUACGAAGGGGGCUAGCGUUGUUCGGAAUUACUGGGCGUAAAGCGCAUGUAGGCGGAUAUUU